This 442-nucleotide ribosomal RNA is filed under the name uncultured bacterium. Its description in RNAcentral is "bacterial SSU rRNA". It matches the Rfam family "Bacterial small subunit ribosomal RNA", at positions 1063 to 1507 of the family's 1533-position model. The record is from RNAcentral.
UGUCGUGAGAUGUUGGGUUAAGUCCCGCAACGAGCGCAACCCCUAUCUCUAGUUGCCAUCAUUUAGUUGGGCACUCUAGCGAAACUGCCGGUGACAAGCCGGAGGAAGGUGGGGACGACGUCAAGUCAUCGUGGCCCUUACAGGUUGGGCUACACACGUGCUACAAUGGUAGUGACAAUGGGCAGCCACUCCGCGAGGAGGAGCUAAUCCCUAAAAACUAUCUCAGUUCAGAUUGUAGGCUGCAACUCGCCUGCAUGAAGUCGGAAUCGCUAGUAAUCGUAGAUCAGCAUGCUACGGUGAAUACGUUCCCGGGUCUUGUACACACCGCCCGUCAAGCAAUGGGAGUUGGUUUUACCCGAAGAUGGUGCGCUAACCUCUUGGAGGCAGCCAGCCACGGUAAGAUCAGCGACUGGUGCUAAGUCGUAACAAGGUAGCCAAGGGC